Molecule: long non-coding RNA, 448 nt
Filed under: Brassica napus (rape)
Lineage: Eukaryota; Viridiplantae; Streptophyta; Magnoliopsida; Brassicales; Brassicaceae
Description: long non-coding RNA (BNAP_LNC019776)
Source: RNAcentral
AAUUUUAUCUUAUCGCGACAAAAGUGUAAGCAAGGUUCACUUUAUUUUGUACCAAUUUAAUUAUUUAUUCUUCCAGUACAUUGCAUUAUUUUUAUAUGUACUUUUUAAUUGGUGGUCUAAGUCAACUCGUGUAGACUUGCUUAAGAUAUUGCACACUCGACGUAUAUAAUGCGACUCCGACACAUUUCUUUAUUAAUGCUAAGUAUCAUUUCAGAAUUAGCUAUAACAAAUAUCAUAUUAAACUCGUAAUGGAGCAUAAUCAUUAGCUUAUGAACCGUCAAAGGAGUGGUUCUAGUUACUUAAGGCUGUUUGCUUUAAUUAAGAUUAUCUUCUAAUCUGAUGGUUUGUCCUCCACCUCAAGAGUAAUUAUUAUGCCCUUUCGUUCGAUAAGCCGCUUCUUUAAACCCCAAUUUUCUUUAUAAUUAGAAAAGAAGUUUUUGGUCUAUUC